This 253-nucleotide ribosomal RNA is filed under the name uncultured bacterium. RNAcentral's name for it is "partial 16S ribosomal RNA". It matches the Rfam family "Bacterial small subunit ribosomal RNA", at positions 524 to 776 of the family's 1533-position model. The record is from RNAcentral.
UACGGAGGGUGCAAACGUUGCUCGGAAUCAUUGGGCGUAAAGCGCACGUAGGCGGACCGCUAAGUCGGAUGUGAAAGCCCUCGGCUUAACCGAGGAAGUGCAUUCGAAACUGACGGUCUUGAGUAUGGAAGAGGGUCGCGGAAUUCCCGGUGUAGAGGUGAAAUUCGUAGAUAUCGGGAGGAACACCAGUGGCGAAGGCGGCGACCUGGGCCAAUACUGACGCUGAGACGCGAAAGCGUGGGGAGCGAACAGG